CCUACGGGGUGCAGCAGUGGGGGAUAUUGCACAAUGGGGGGAACCCUGAUGCAGCGACGCCGCGUGGGUGAAGGAGUGCUUCGGCAUGUAAAGCCCUAUCGGCAGGGAAGAAGCAAGACGUUACCUGACUAAGCAGCCCCGGCUAACUACGUGCCAGCAGCCGCGGUAAUCCGUAGGGGGCGAGCGUUAUCCGGAUUCACUGGGUGGAAAGGGAGCGUAGACGGCCAAGCAAGCCAGGGGUGAAAGCGCGGGCCCCAAACCCGGGACUGCCCUUGGAAUUGCAGGGCGGGAGUGCGGGAGGGGCAGGCGGAAUUCCUGGUGGAGCGGUGAAAUGCGUAGAUAUCAGGAGGAACACCGGCGGCGAAGGCGGCCUGCUGGACCGCGACUGACGUUGAGGCUCGAAAGCGUGGGGAGCGAACAGGAUUAGAUACCCCUGUAGUC
This 441-nucleotide ribosomal RNA is filed under the name uncultured bacterium. RNAcentral describes it as "partial 16S ribosomal RNA". It matches the Rfam family "Bacterial small subunit ribosomal RNA", at positions 338 to 795 of the family's 1533-position model. The record is from RNAcentral.